CCUACGGGAGGCAGCAGUGAGGAAUAUUGGUCAAUGGACGCAAGUCUGAACCAGCCAUGCCGCGUGCAGGAAGACGGCUCUAUGAGUUGUAAAUUGCUUUUGUCCGGGGGUAAACUCAGAUACGCGUAUCUGUCUGAAAGUCUCUUACGAAUAAGGAUCGGGUAACUCCGUGCCAGCAGCCGCGGUAAUACGGAGGAUCCAAGCGUUAUCCGGAUUUAUUGGGUUUAAAGGGUGCGUAGGUGGUCGGUUAAGUUGGGGGGGAAAGCCCGCGGCUCACGGUGGGAAUUGCCUCUGAUACUGUUCGGCUAGAGUGUAGUUGCGGUAGGCGGAAUGUAUGGUGUAGCGGUGAAAUGCUUAGAGAUCAUACAGAACACCGAUUGCGAAGGCAGCUUACGAAGCUACUACUGACGUUGAGGCACGAAAGCGUGGGGAGCAAACAGGAUUAGAUACCCUAGUAGUC
This 460-nucleotide ribosomal RNA is filed under the name uncultured bacterium. RNAcentral's name for it is "partial 16S ribosomal RNA". It matches the Rfam family "Bacterial small subunit ribosomal RNA", at positions 338 to 795 of the family's 1533-position model. The record is from RNAcentral.